This 540-nucleotide ribosomal RNA is filed under the name uncultured bacterium. RNAcentral describes it as "bacterial SSU rRNA". It matches the Rfam family "Bacterial small subunit ribosomal RNA", at positions 28 to 572 of the family's 1533-position model. The record is from RNAcentral.
AACAACGCUGGCGGCGUGCUUACACAUGCAAGUCGAGUGCGCGUGCCGUAGCAAUACGGUAUGGCGCACGGCGCACGGGUGCGUAACACGUGGGCAAUCUGCCCUCCGGUGGGGAAUAACCCCGCGAAAGCGGGGCUAAUUCCGCAUAACAUUCCCUGGACUUCGGUUCGGGGAUUCAAAGCAGCAAUGCGCCGGAGGAGGAGCCCGCGCCCGAUUAGCUAGUUGGUGAGGUAACGGCUCACCAAGGCAAUGAUCGGUAGCUGGUCUGAGAGGAUGGCCAGCCACACUGGAACUGAGACACGGUCCAGACUCCUACGGGAGGCAGCAGUGGGGAAUCUUGCGCAAUGGGCGAAAGCCUGACGCAGCGACGCCGCGUGGGGGAUGAAGCUUUUCGGAGUGUAAACCCCUUUCGACCGGGACGAAUGCCCGCAAGGGAGUGACGGUACCGGUAGAAGAAGCCCCGGCUAACUACGUGCCAGCAGCCGCGGUAAGACGUAGGGGGCCAGCGUUGUUCGGAAUUACUGGGUGUAAAGGGUUCGU